Boleophthalmus pectinirostris (great blue-spotted mudskipper) is the source of this 758-nucleotide long non-coding RNA. RefSeq lists it as uncharacterized. The transcript is spliced from 3 exons. Lineage: Eukaryota; Metazoa; Chordata; Actinopteri; Gobiiformes; Gobiidae. The record is from RefSeq and is a predicted model, not a curated record.
UUAUAAAAGGGCACUACCCGCAGCGUCUGGUUCUCUGACCUCGGCGCACUUCCGCAAGUUUAUCAUUUAACAUAUGGUUUUAUUAUAGUGCCACCGGUCCUGGAGCCUCGAUUCGCCUGAUCUGAGUUACGGCUCGUCAUGUAAAGCUCCUGUGUGGAUUUGCUGUUGAUGCUACAAGCGCCACUGUUCGCCGCUGUCCACGGUCUGACACACUCAAAGGGCUCGGUAUCACACACGCAGACAUCAAACCUGACAAUGUCAUGUUCGUGGACCUGGAGGAGCAGUUAACCGACUUUGGAGUGGCCAGGAGGACCUCCUAAGUCCAGCUGGGGACCAGACUCCUGCCGUGUGGAUACAGACUCAUAAUAUGUCCCCUGGAGGACCAAACGUGUGUCUCUGAGGUCAAAGUGGAAGUCCAAACAGAUGCUUGAGAAUCCUCUGCAUCUAUUGGCCAAGACUGGUGUUUGGUCUCUUUGUGGACAAGUGUCUUCUGCUGCGCCACUUACAGCGCCCCCCAGCUGCAGGGAUAAGUCCAAUUGACUCUUCACACAGCUCUGAACUCAUAGACCUUGUCCAGUUAGAAGACUCACAUGUGAGCGCUGGAGUAGAGCACACAGACGCUGCUCCAGUCACCAAACCUCUGAAGCGAUCUCUUUUCCAUAGGGUUGGGAGAGUCCUAGAGUCAGAGAUUCUUUGUGUUGCUGUGUGCGUCCACAAGAAGACCACUGAGUGUUAAUAAAUGUAUUAUUAUCACACCA